GCCCAGACUCCUACGGGAGGCAGCAGUGGGGAAUAUUGUACAAUGGGCGCAAGGCUGAUCCAGCCAUGCCGCGUGAGUGAUGAAGGCCUUAGGGUUGUAAAGCUCUUUCAGUGGGGACGAUAAUGACGGUACCCGCAGAAGAAGCCCCGGCUAACUUCG
This 159-nucleotide ribosomal RNA is filed under the name uncultured soil bacterium. RNAcentral describes it as "partial 16S ribosomal RNA". It matches the Rfam family "Bacterial small subunit ribosomal RNA", at positions 329 to 505 of the family's 1533-position model. The record is from RNAcentral.